AUGAACGCUGGCGGCGUGCCUAAUACAUGCAAGUCGAGCGAACGGACGAGAAGCUUGCUUCUCUGAUGUUAGCGGCGGACGGGUGAGUAACACGUGGAUAACCUACCUAUAAGACUGGGAUAACUUCGGGAAACCGGAGCUAAUACCGGAUAAUAUUUUGAACCGCAUGGUUCAAAAGUGAAAGACGGUCUUGCUGUCACUUAUAGAUGGAUCCGCGCUGCAUUAGCUAGUUGGUAAGGUAACGGCUUACCAAGGCAACGAUGCAUAGCCGACCUGAGAGGGUGAUCGACCACACGGGACCGAGAACCAGGUCCAACCCCCAAGGGGAGGCACCAGUGGGAAUUCUUCCGGAAUGGGCAAAAGCCUAACGGGGAAAGCCGGCGUGAGGGAUAAGGGCUUUCGGUGCGUAAAAUUUUUUUAUUAGGGAAUAAAAAAGGUGUAGUAACCUGGCCCAUUUUUGAGGGUCCCUAACAAAAAAGCCAGGGUAAACCACGG
RNAcentral lists this ribosomal RNA (495 nucleotides) under uncultured bacterium. RNAcentral's name for it is "partial 16S ribosomal RNA". It matches the Rfam family "Bacterial small subunit ribosomal RNA", at positions 29 to 506 of the family's 1533-position model. The record is from RNAcentral.